RNAcentral lists this ribosomal RNA (1537 nucleotides) under metagenome. RNAcentral describes it as "bacterial SSU rRNA". It matches the Rfam family "Bacterial small subunit ribosomal RNA". The record is from RNAcentral.
AGGGUAUGAUACCGGCUCAGAACUAACGCUUGCGGCGUGACUCAUACAUGCAAGUCGAACGCAAACGUUCCCUUCGGGGAGCUAGUAGCGUGGCGAACGGGCGAGUAAUGCAUAGAUAACCUACCCUAGAGUUCGGGAUAACCCUUCGAAAGGAGGAAUAAUACCGAAUAACAUCUGCGAAUCGCAUGGUUUGCAGAUCAAAGGUGGGGAUCCUUCGGGACCUACCGCUUAAGGAGGGGUUUAUGUCCUAUCAGCUUGUUGGUGAGGUAAUGGCUCCCCAAGGCUUACGGGUAGCCGGCCUGAGAGGGUGACCGGCCGCAUUGGGACUGAGACACUGCCCAGACUCCUACGGGAGGCUGCAUUCGAGAAUCAUUGGCAAUGGGCGAAAGCCUGAUCGUGCGACGCCGCGUGGGUGAUUGAAGGCCUUCGGGUCGUAAAGCCCUGUCACGCUGAUAAGAAGUCCAUUGGAGCGAAUAACUCUGGUGGAUUGACGUAUAGGCGAGAGGAAGCACCGGCUAACUUCGUGCCAGCAGCCGCGGUAAGACGAAGGGUGCUAGCGUUGUUCGGAUUUACUGGGCAUAAAGGGCCCGUAGGCGAUUGUCCAAGUCUACUGUGGAAGACCCCGGCUUAACCGGGGAAGAGCAGUGGAAACUGGAUAGUUAGAGUGCGGAAGGGGAGAGUGGAAUCACUGGUGGAGCGGUGAAAUGCGUUGAUAUCAGUGAGAACGCCGGUGGCGAAAGCGACUCUCUGGUCCGCAACUGACGCUGAGGGGCGAAAGCUAGGGGAGCGAACGGGAUUAGAUACCCCGGUAGUCCUAUUGCUGUAAACGAUGGGCACUACGUAGAGGAGGUUCCAACGCCUUCUCUGCCGAAGCUAACGUAUUAAGUGCCCCGCCUGGGGAGUAUGGUCGCAAGGCUGAAACUCAAGGUAAUUGACGGGGGCUCGCACAAGCGGUGGGGCAUGUUGCUUAAUUCGAAGCUACGCGAAGAACCUUACCAGGGCUUUACAUGCACGGAUUAGGCCCUCGAAAGGGGGUUCGACGCCGCAAGGUGGAACGUGCACAGGUGCUGCAUGGCUGUCGUCAGCUCGUGUCGUGAGAUGUUGGGUUAAGUCCCGUAACGAGCGAAACCCUUAUCCUUAGUUGCCAGCGCGUAAUGGCGGGGACUCUAGGGAGACUGCCCGGAUCAUAACUGGGAGGAAGGUGGGGAUGACGUCAAGUCAGCAUGGCCCUUACGCCCUGGGCUGCAAACGUGCCACAAUAGCCGGUACAAAGGGGACUGAAGCCGCGAGGUGGAAGAAAUCCCAAAAAGCCGGCUCCAGUUCGGAUUGGAGGCUGCAACUCGCCUCCAUGACAGCCGGAAUCGCUAGUAAUAGCGGAUCAGCAACGCCGCGGUGAAUAUGUUCCCGAGCCUUGUACACACCGCCCGUCAAGCCACCCAAGCAGGGCGCACCCGAAGUCGCUGGCCCAACCCGUUUAACCGCGGGAGGGAGGCGCCGAAGGUGUGUCUUGUGAGGAGGACUAAGUCGUAACAAGGUA